CAAAAAUGGCUGCUGGCAGACUGGGAGCAGUUCCCAGCAGCAGGAGCUACAUAUAACUGGCGAGUGUGGUGAGAGCCCUGUGAGCAGAGAGACAGUAGUCCCAGUCACCUAGGAGGACACUCUGGUCCUGCCAGGUCUGUGAUCCCGAAAUCAGCAGGUAUCAGCCAAGCAGAGUGAAAAUGAAUUGAGAAGAAAUGAGUCUAUCCUUGAUGCAACAUUGAAAAGGAAUCUGGUGAUUCUCAUUGUGCGCUCCAGCUUUUUGAUGAAUGAGGAAG
Hemicordylus capensis (graceful crag lizard) is the source of this 275-nucleotide long non-coding RNA. RefSeq lists it as uncharacterized. The record is from RefSeq and is a predicted model, not a curated record. NCBI's taxonomy places the organism in Eukaryota, Metazoa, Chordata, Lepidosauria, Squamata, Cordylidae. The transcript has 3 exons.